GUUUGGUUAAGUUAGAAAGGGCGCACGGUGGAUGCCUUGACACUAGGAGUCGAUGAAGGACGGGACUAACGCCGAUAUGCUUCGGGGAGCUGUAAGUAAGCUUUGAUCCGAAGAUUUCCGAAUGGGGAAACCCACCAUACGUAAUGGUAUGGUAUCCUUAUCUGAAUACAUAGGGUAAGGAAGACAGACCCAGGGAACUGAAACAUCUAAGUACCUGGAGGAAGAGAAAGCAAAUGCGAUUUCCUGAGUAGCGGCGAGCGAAACGGAACAUAGCCCAAACCAAGAGGCUUGCCUCUUGGGGUUGUAGGACAUUCUAUACGGAGUUACAAAGGAACGAGGUAGACGAAGCAACCUGGAAAGGGCCGUCGUAGAGGGUAACAACCCCGUAGUCGAAACUUCGUUCUCUCUUGAAUGUAUCCUGAGUACGGCGGAACACGUGAAAUUCCGUCGGAAUCUGGGAGGACCAUCUCCCAAGGCUAAAUACUCCCUAGUGAUCGAUAGUGAACCAGUACCGUGAGGGAAAGGUGAAAAGCACCCCGGAAGGGGAGUGAAAGAGAUCCUGAAACCGUGUGCCUACAAAUAGUCAGAGCCCGUUAACGGGUGAUGGCGUGCCUUUUGUAGAAUGAACCGGCGAGUUACGAUCCCGUGCGAGGUUAAGCUGAAGAGGCGGAGCCGCAGCGAAAGCGAGUCUGAAUAGGGCGUUUAGUACGUGGUCGUAGACCCGAAACCAGGUGAUCUACCCAUGUCCAGGGUGAAGUUCAGGUAACACUGAAUGGAGGCCCGAACCCACGCACGUUGAAAAGUGCGGGGAUGAGGUGUGGGUAGCGGAGAAAUUCCAAUCGAACCUGGAGAUAGCUGGUUCUCCCCGAAAUAGCUUUAGGGCUAGCCUUAAGUGUAAGAGUCUUGGAGGUAGAGCACUGAUUGGACUAGGGGUCCUCAUCGGAUUACCGAAUUCAGUCAAACUCCGAAUGCCAAUGACUUAUCCUUAGGAGUCAGACUGCGAGUGAUAAGAUCCGUAGUCAAAAGGGAAACAGCCCAGACCGCCAGCUAAGGUCCCAAAGUGUGUAUUAAGUGGAAAAGGAUGUGGAGUUGCUUAGACAACUAGGAUGUUGGCUUAGAAGCAGCCACCAUUUAAAGAGUGCGUAAUAGCUCACUAGUCGAGUGACUCUGCGCCGAAAAUGUACCGGGGCUAAAUACACCACCGAAGCUGCGGAUUGAUACCAAUGGUAUCAGUGGUAGGGGAGCGUUCUAAGGACAGUGAAGUCAGACCGUAAGGACUGGUGGAGUGCUUAGAAGUGAGAAUGCCGGUAUGAGUAGCGAAAGACGGGUGAGAAUCCCGUCCACCGAAUGCCUAAGGUUUCCUGAGGAAGGCUCGUCCGCUCAGGGUUAGUCAGGACCUAAGCCGAGGCCGACAGGCGUAGGCGAUGGACAACAGGUUGAUAUUCCUGUACCACCUCUUUAUCGUUUGAGCAAUGGAGGGACGCAGAAGGAUAGAAGAAGCGUGCGAUUGGUUGUGCACGUCCAAGCAGUUAGGCUGAUAAGUAGGCAAAUCCGCUUAUCGU
RNAcentral lists this ribosomal RNA (1562 nucleotides) under Bacillus thuringiensis. Its description in RNAcentral is "bacterial LSU rRNA". It matches the Rfam family "Bacterial large subunit ribosomal RNA", at positions 1 to 1552 of the family's 2925-position model. The record is from RNAcentral. Lineage: Bacteria; Bacillati; Bacillota; Bacilli; Caryophanales; Bacillaceae.